This 463-nucleotide ribosomal RNA is filed under the name uncultured bacterium. RNAcentral's name for it is "partial 16S ribosomal RNA". It matches the Rfam family "Bacterial small subunit ribosomal RNA", at positions 29 to 507 of the family's 1533-position model. The record is from RNAcentral.
AGUGAACGCUGGCGGCGUGCCUAAUACAUGCAAGUCGAACGAUGAAGUCCUAGCUUGCUAGGAUGGAUUAGUGGCGCACGGGUGAGUAAUAUAUAGUUAAUCUGCCCUACACAGAGGAACAACAGUUGGAAACGACUGCUAAUACCUCAUACUCCUAUUUGACAUACGUUAAAUAGGGAAAGUCUUUUCGGUGUAGGAUGAGACUAUAUCGUAUCAGCUAGUUGGUAAGGUAAUGGCUUACCAAGGCUAUGACGCGUAACUGGUCUGAGAGGAUGAUCAGUCACAUUGGAACUGAGACACGGUCCAAACUCCUACGGGAGGCAGCAGUAAGGAAUAUUGCGCAAUGGGGGAAACCCUGACGCAGCAACGCCGCGUGGAGGAUGACACUUUUCGGAGCGUAAACUCCUUUUAUCAGGAAAGAAUAAUGACGGUACCUGAUGAAUAAGCACCGGCUAACUCCGUG